GACGAACGCUGGCGGCGUGCUUAACACAUGCAAGUCGAGCGGUAAGGCCCUUUCGGGGGUACACGAGCGGCGAACGGGUGAGUAACACGUGGGUGACCUGCCCUCAGCUCUGGGAUAAGCCUGGGAAACUGGGUCUAAUACCGGAUAUGACUCCAUGACGCAUGUUGUGGGGUGGAAAGCCUUGUGCGGCUGAGGAUGGGCCCGCGGCCUAUCAGCUUGUUGGUGGGGUGANGGCCUACCAAGGCGACGACGGGUAGCCGGCCUGAGAGGGCGACCGGCCACACUGGGACUGAGACACGGCCCAGACUCCUACGGGAGGCAGCAGUGGGGAAUCUUGCGCAAUGGGCGAAAGCCUGACGCAGCGACGCCGCGUGAGGGAUGACGGCCUCGGUUGUAACGUAC
Molecule: ribosomal RNA, 402 nt
Filed under: uncultured bacterium
Lineage: Bacteria
Description: bacterial SSU rRNA
Rfam family: Bacterial small subunit ribosomal RNA
Source: RNAcentral